Molecule: long non-coding RNA, 3293 nt
Filed under: Paramuricea clavata
Lineage: Eukaryota; Metazoa; Cnidaria; Anthozoa; Malacalcyonacea; Plexauridae
Source: RNAcentral
GCAUGGCUAUAUUUUCCGCAUUUUACAACAUUUCGCAACCAAACUUUACAAUGUUACUCAUUUUAGUAUGCUCUUUCUAGAUGUGGUGAUUUAUUUGCAUCUCCUUGCCUAGUUUUAAAAUUACUCUAUAAUGGGAAUUGUCUAUUGUACAAAAAAUGAAGCUGCUGUCAGUGCUGUGGUUUGUGUCUGAACUGGCUAUAAAAGUAGCCACUGUCAACUGUCAUCAUCACGCGAAGAUGUUUCGCUCAGAACGUCAAGUGUUUUAAUCUUUUUCAGAUUUCACCAAAUUUGUAUCAGGAUGGGGGCAUUGGGGGUAUUCAAUACCGUAAUACAGCAAGCAAAUUUUGUCAAUAGCCGCAGUUUUUGAGUCUAAAAUUGCAAAUACCGUGUACCGCAAGAUUUCCAAUAUUGUAAUACCGCAAUUUUUUAAGGAAAAUACCAAAAUACCGUAAGAAAAAUAAGCUAAUACCGCCAUACCGUAAAUCCCAAUGUCCCCCCCUAUCAGUUGUAACUUUCCCCUAGCUUAUGUUUUGACUGAACGCACAUCUAGCCUGCGGUGUAGACCCACACGAAAGGUGUUUCUGCUAGGGUCUACACCGUGGGCUAAUGCAUAUCUAAAAUACGAAAGACAUGGUAAAUAUCUUCUUACGAGAACAAUUAAUCAUUCACAAAUAGCUGCGAUAUUCAACUACAAAACUUGAAACUUGUGCUCCCAUUAGGCUUUGCGCGCUUAGAGUUUAGGUUUAAGCUUUAGAUGCAAAGGAUAAUCUUUUUUGAAUUGGCUGUAUACAGAGCCGGAGAUACGGGGGGGGGGGUGACACCACCCAGAAAUUUUAUUCAGUCGGCAGGACUGCUAUUCAGUCGGUAGGACUGCUACUUGGGUUAAAUAUUUCCGCGCAAAGGGCAAGAUGUUUGGGUUUUUUGGGUAAAUUUCCGAAUUUUGGUAUGAAAAAUUGAGGUAAAGUCACUGGAAAGCAUUUGCAACGUACUCGUCCGGCUCGUUUUCCCUAAAAAGUUGUCGACGGGGGGGGGGGGGGGGGGGGGGGGGGGGNNNNNNNNNNNNNNNNNNNNGGGGAGGUUGUUGGUCUCUGAAAAAAUUUUUUCGUCAGUCGGUUGAAAUGACCUUACACCCCACCCCCCCCACCCCCCUGAAGAAUUCCCUGAGGACAGCCAUGGCUGUAUAAUACUACAAUCUAAUGACAUUAGAGUCUUGGCACACUGCAUGCACGAAAGACGCCGAUAACAACUCAAGGCAUUUGCCAGAACAAUACCGCUUUUAGUCACCAAUAUUCUACGUAGGCGGAACUGUCAGUAAUUGUCUUUUGUGUCAGUAAAUGUAAUUGUAAACCGCUAUUUAGUGUAGCACUAUUCACUUCGUAUCAUAUCUUAUAUCACUAGCGCAUUAUUAAUCUACCCGUCGAAGACUGCAGACGCCAAGCUAGACAAGAGACCAUUUCUAGUCGGCUUUCAGGCUCAGCGCAAAGCCAAAGAUGCGCGCAAAUGUAAAACAGAUCUCAGUACAAUAUAUUUAAACUGCGCAGAAUUGAACCGCGUGAAUUUAAGACAUGAUAUAAAAUUUGGGGAAAAUUUAAGUUUUAAGUUUUUUAAAUUACUCCAAAUUACCUACGUAUAUUCCUACGUAUAAACGGCAACGUAUUUCUAAGUCUGGACAUUUCUAAGUAAAAUCGUCUGGACUGAGUAAAAUGGCAAAUAUUUAUUUAUUUAAUUUCGCCAAACACAGCAAAAUACAAUGACUCACAGACCCGCGCAAAACAUGCAUGUACAACAAUUAUAAGCAACGAAUGACGACGCAACAGUUUAAACCGAUUACUGUGGGCCGUUUUAACAUAAUAUAACAAGAGUACGUAUUAUAUAGAAUCAAAUAUUUUUGAUAGCUAACAGGAAGCUAUUCAUUGUUCAUAUUCCGAGUAGUAUUGCGUUGUUCCAAGUUCUCGGCUCAUCAGCAUCAAAGUAUUCAGGAGGGCGUUAAAGUAGUAAUACCGUAGAAAUGAUUUUAAGUGUUCUAAAAUUAAUUAUGAAUCCUGGUUUCGCCUCCAAUAUUUUUAAGACUACAAUCUAGUCGAAACGUCGAUUAUAAAAUCAAAAUGUAAUUCGGAGUUACUGUUCUUUUGUAUCAAAAUACUGAAUGGUUCCCGCAAGUAGUAAUGCAUUUUUAAUUUUUUAUGCCAGUAAGUUAUGAAAACUCUCCGCGUCCAAGCUAGACAAGAGACCAUUUCUAGUCGGCUUUCAGGCUCAGCGCAAAGCCAAAGAUGCGCGCAAAUGUAAAACAGAUCUCAGUACAAUAUAUUUAAACUGCGCAGAAUUGAACCGCGUGAAUUUAAGACAUGAUAUAAAAUUUGGGGAAAAUUUAAGUUUUAAGUUUUUUAAAUUACUCCAAAUUACCUACGUAUAUUCCUACGUAUAAACGGCAACGUAUUUCUAAGUAAAAUCGUCUGGACUGAGUAAAAUAGCGAAUAUUUAUUUAUUUAAUUUCGCCAAACACAGCAAAUACAAUGACUCACAGACCCGCGCAAAACAUGUACAACAAUAUAUAAAGCAACGAAUGACGGCGUAACAGUUUAAACCGAUUACUGUGGGCCGUUUUAACAUGAUAUAACAAGAGUACGUAUUAUAUAGAGUCAAAUAGUUUUGAUAGCUAACAGCAAGCUAUUCAUUGUUCAUAUUCCGAGUAGUGUUGCGUUGUUCCAAGUUCUCGGCUCAUCAGCAUCAAAGUAUUCAGGAGGGCGUUAAAGUAGUAAUCCCGUAGAAAUGAUUUCUAGUAAGUGUUCUAAAAUAUUGAUAUUAUCCGCCCGUAACUUCGUUCGUAGUGUAUUCCGUGGUCACGCUCAGGACGAAAAGAAACGCUCAGUAAUACCGGACUGUUCUGCGUUUCGGUGGGAAAAAGAUAUGCCCCUACAGGCCCUAUAUUGUUUGGUUAAUAAGUUACCAUCCAAGAGUUAACCCUAAUGGCCUAUAAACCUAAACAUUGGCAAACAACAGUGAACAGAGACCCGACACAAAACGCCCCAAACAAACCUAUUUUACUUGUUGAUUCGCCAAACUCAUCGACUAAUGCACCCAAUAUAGACCCGAACGACAUCUGUAAUCCACCCGCGCCAAAUAGCGAUAAAAAUACGACACUUAGUAUGCACCAAGAUCGCUUCGAAUCGACCAUACUGUCGUCAACAAAACUCAUGUUGGCAAACUAUGUUUCUAUAGUUGCGCACAAAAUUCUACUUUAAAAUUUCCUUCGUUCGUUGAUGUCUAAGUGCUAUAGUCGAAGGCGUGAAAUU